This 403-nucleotide ribosomal RNA is filed under the name uncultured bacterium. Its description in RNAcentral is "partial 16S ribosomal RNA". It matches the Rfam family "Bacterial small subunit ribosomal RNA", at positions 28 to 526 of the family's 1533-position model. The record is from RNAcentral.
GACGAACGCUGGCGGCGUGCCUAAUACAUGCAAGUCGAACGCAGUAGGGACGGGUGAGUAACACGUGGGUAACCUCCCAUCAGAGGGGAUAACACUUGGAAACAGGUGCUAAACCGAGACUGAUGGCUGGGAGCGCGGGGCAUUAGCCAGUUGGUGAGGUAACGGCUCACCAAGGCCACGAUGCAUAGCCGACCUGAGAGGGUGAUCUGCCACACUGGGACUGAGACACGGCCCCGACUCCUACGGGAGGCAGCAGUAGGGAAUCUUCGGCAAUGGACGAAAGCCUGACCGAGCAACGCCGCGUGAGUGAAGAAGGUUUUCGGAUCGUAAACCUCUUUUGUUAGAGAAGCGUUAUCUAACCAGAAAGCCCCGGCUAACUACGUGCCAGCAGCCGCGGUAAUUC